GGUGUUUUGGCUCAGUGGUAGAGCACUUAUCUUGCAUGCAUGCACUGGGUUCGAUCCUCAGCACCA
This 66-nucleotide transfer RNA is filed under the name Marmota monax (woodchuck). RNAcentral's name for it is "tRNA.Ala". Lineage: Eukaryota; Metazoa; Chordata; Mammalia; Rodentia; Sciuridae. The record is from RNAcentral.